RNAcentral lists this ribosomal RNA (1885 nucleotides) under Actinotignum timonense. Its description in RNAcentral is "bacterial LSU rRNA". It matches the Rfam family "Bacterial large subunit ribosomal RNA", at positions 1086 to 2820 of the family's 2925-position model. Lineage: Bacteria; Bacillati; Actinomycetota; Actinomycetes; Actinomycetales; Actinomycetaceae. The record is from RNAcentral.
GUGACAACCAGGAGGUUGGCUUAGAAGCAGCCAUCCUUGAAAGAGUGCGUAAUAGCUCACUGGUCAAGUGAUUGAGCGCCGACAAUGUAGCGGGGCUGAAGUACACCGCCGAAACCGCGGCAGACAAUAGUUUUUGUUGUUUGGGUAGGGGAGCGUCCUGCGCGAGGUGAAGCCAUGGCGUGAGCUUGUGGUGGAUUGUGUGGGAGUGAGAAUGCAGGCAUGAGUAACGUUUGGGAGGUGAGAAUCCUUCCCGCCGUAUGACUAAGGGUUCCAGGGGUAGGUUCGUCCUCUCUGGGUUAGUCGGGUCCUAAGGCGAGGCCGACAGGCGUAGUCGAUGGGUGACCAGUUCUUAUUCUGGUACCGGUUUUAUUGCGUCCAGUGUCUUCUGCGUUGAUGCUAACCAUCCCGCCUACACCUUGUAAGCGAAUGAGGCGUUUGUCUUGUUUGUUGUUGGUGUGGGUGGCGUGGGGUCCUAAGUGUGGGAGGCAAGCGUGUUAACAGGUGUGACGCAGGGAGGUAGCUUCGCGUGCCUAAUGGCUUGGCGCGUUUAAGGGUGUGGCCCGUCUCUUUGGUAAAUCCGGGGGACAUAGUGGGUGAGGCCUGAUGGUGACCGUUUUUAUAGCGGGAAGUAGGGUGAUCCUGUACUGCCGAGAAAAGCAUCGACGUGAGUGGUAAGACCGCCCGUACCCGAAACCGACACUGGUAGUUGGGUAGAGCAUACUAAGGCGUGCGAGUGAAUCGUGGUUAAGGAACUCGGCAAAAUGCCCCCGUAACUUUGGGAGAAGGGGGGCCCACUCUUUGCCUGUCUCUUGUCUAGACGUGGUGGGGGGUUGGGUCGCAGAGUCUAGGGAGAAGCGACUGUUUAUCAAAAACACAGGUCCGUGCGAAGCUGUAAGGCGAUGUAUACGGACUGACGCCUGCCCGGUGCUGGAAGGUUAAGCGGACUGGUUAGCCCCUUGUGGGGGCGAGGCUGGGAAGUUAAGCCCCAGUAAACGGCGGUGGUAACUAUAACCAUCCUAAGGUAGCGAAAUUCCUUGUCGGGUAAGUUCCGACCUGCACGAAUGGCGUAACGACUUCUCUACUGUCUCGACCACGAGCUCGGUGAAAUUGCAUUACGAGUAAAGAUGCUCGUUUCGCGCAGCAGGACGGAAAGACCCCGGGACCUUUACUAUAGCUUGGUAUUGGUGUUCGGUACGGUUUGUGUAGGAUAGGUGGGAGACUGUGAUGCAUGGACGCUAGUUUGUGUGGAGUCGUUGUUGAAAUACCACUCUGGUCGUAUUGCAUGUCUAACUUUGGUCCGUGAUCCGGGCUAAGGACAGUGCCUGGUGGGUAGUUUAACUGGGGCGGUUGCCUCCUAAAGGGUAACGGAGGCGCUCAAAGGUUUCCUCAGCCUGGUUGGUCAUCAGGUGGUGAGUGUAAGUGUAGAAGGAAGCUUGACUGUGAGACAGACAUGUCGAGCAGGUACGAAAGUAGGAACUAGUGAUCCGGCGGUGGCUUGUGGAAGCGCCGUCGCUCAACGGAUAAAAGGUACCCCGGGGAUAACAGGCUGAUCCUGCCCAAGAGUUCAUAUCGACGGCAUGGUUUGGCACCUCGAUGUCGGCUCGUCGCAUCCUGGGGCUGGAGUAGGUCCCAAGGGUUGGGCUGUUCGCCCAUUAAAGCGGUACGCGAGCUGGGUUCAGAACGUCGUGAGACAGUUCGGUCCCUAUCCGCUGCGCGCGUUUGAGAAUUGAGAAGGGCUGUUCCUAGUACGAGAGGACCGGGACGGACGAACCUCUAGUGUGCCAGUUGUUCCGCCAGGGGCAUUGCUGGUUGGCCACGUUCGGGAGGGAUAACCGCUGAAAGCAUCUAAGCGGGAAGCCUGCUUCGAGAUUAGUUCUCGUUCCAC